Molecule: long non-coding RNA, 1770 nt
Filed under: Paramuricea clavata
Lineage: Eukaryota; Metazoa; Cnidaria; Anthozoa; Malacalcyonacea; Plexauridae
Source: RNAcentral
GUGAUCACCUUCAAAGCUUGCCCAUGGAUGCAAGAUUCAAUGCAUGCACAAUAUCGAAAUCGUUUCAAGUGAGAUGUUCAUGGCAAAAGUGUUGUUAAUGAUCAAGCAAAAAGAGGAAUUAAGGUUAGGCAUUUUGAGCUUACAUUUCCAAAGAAAUAAAUGUGUAAUUUAAGUAGUUUUACGCUGUGUUAAAAAUGUGCAUUGUCCAUUGAACGUGUUAUUUUCAUAACUAUAACGAACUUUGGAGUAAAGCUAAGUUUACGCAUGCAAUUAAUCGUGUACGAUUCGUUCCUCAGAAUUUUCUAUGUAUUUGUCUAUUUGAUCGAUAUCUGUCAAUAAUUCUCGUGUAGACCUCGUAUAUAUAGAGAAUAAUACAUGGAUGCGCGGAAAUACCUCAUUUAUUUCGAGUGUUGCAUGAACAUGAUAUCUCACUCGUUCGCUGCGCUCACUCAUGAGAUAUCAUGUUCAACACGAGAAAUAAAUCUGGUAUUUCCAAGCACCCAUGUAUUAUAAGGACAGUCUUUGAAAAGCGAUAAUUUUUACAGAAAAGUGACAAUUGAAAAGCGAUAAUUUUCACAUAUAAAUAAUCUCACAUGUGAGAUAAUCAGUUUUAUCGGUGCUCGAAAUCUCGAUAAAGCAUUGUACUUUAUAUGAUAAAUACCUGUAGUCCAUAGACCAGUUCAACUUUGUACACAAACAAGAGAUUUUAAGUACUGUUUAAUAAACGAGCAGGAGUGUUUUAUUAGGUUUAAAGCCACGAUCGCGCAGCCUUUACUAAUCGGCCAAUCACAUUUUACAAAAUUUUCUUUGCGGAAAAUUUUCCCAAGUGAAAAUAUGCGUUAAGCCAAGCAGGGAUGGAUUUACUGGAGGGGUGCGGGGUGUGUGUGUGUGUGCACCCCUUAUCCCUGGCCAGAGGGAGUGCAGGGGGGGUGCUAUUUUUCAUGAUAAAGCAAAAAAUUAUUAGAGGCAAAAUGAGAUACAGUAAUUUGAGUAAUAACAUGAUGAUAAGCGAACUGACAACAAUUAUACAAUUCAAAUACAGUAGUCAACCAAGACUUUGCGGUAGUGAAGCAAGUUGAUGGGCGGGCGGCACACAUGACCGAUGCAACUCGGCACCAGAGCUGGCAGAGCCCCCCCCCCCCCCCCUACCAGAUCAUGCUGGAUCCAUCCCUGAAGCCAAGGUGAUGCCAAUAUAAGGUGCAUGGUUAAAUGUCGGAAUUUUGGGCAUAUUAUAAGGUAGAUUCCCAAAAUCCUGUUAUUUGCCCUAUAUUUAAUAUUAAAUUAUUUUUAACACCAUGUAGUGGUCAAGGAGAGACAGUAGCGAGUAUUUUGAUUGACUUGAAUGGUUUCUGGACGUAUGAAAAUAGAGAGGUCUUGGUGAUGCAAGAAAGUCAGGGAGCUUCAGAGGUUUGAUGUAUCGACAAAUCAGGCAAGGCAUCAUUAGUUAUCCCUCCACAAAAUAAGAAUGUCUUUGCCACCACAAUAUCAGUAGGCAUCAUUUUGAAAGUAAAAUGAUACAGAAUCGCAUUUUUUUUUGUCCAAGGCAUAGACUUGACUACAGUCCUGACUCCUGAGUUGUAUAUAAAUGUACAGACGCUGUUAUUUAUUAAAUAUUUUACUGUUUUACAAUGUUGGCAACUUACAGUAGCAAAUAUUAAUGAAUCGGAAAUUUAAUGAAAUUGGGAAUUUCAGUUAGCUACGUUGUGAAUUUACUGGCUAAACGUACUUGUGAAAGCGGCGUGUAACACCAAAUUUUUGACUGUGGCUAGG